AACAUUGUACUGAGAGAUGUGUCAUGCAACGGAAGCAUAAAAAAUUAAAAUCGGUGGUUGCAUACUCCUUCAAUCAUGGGCAUGGUACCGGCUGUAACACCCCGUUUUCAGUGAAGUCAGAACAAUGGUUUCGGGACCACAAAUCUGAGGUCGAAAGAAAAUUUAUUUUAAUAUUAUUUUAUAGUCUAUGGUACGAUAGGAAUGUCGUAAGAAAAUUUCGUUAAGAAAUUUUACCGAUUAUACAUCUAAUUUGUUAAAAAGGACUAGAUUGAAAAAUGUGCAACUAAUAAUAGUGGUUAAGUGAUUAAAUAACUUAACCAAUAAAUAAGGAGGGACUUAAGGCAUAAAUAUGCCAAAAGAAAAUGGAUGAGGCGGCAUAAGCAUUAAAAAGAUGAUAAAAUGGUGUGAACUAAGGGCAAAAUUAGAAAUUUUGCCAAAUUUAAUGAAACAAAUGAAAAAUUAAAGAAUUCUAGACAUUUCAUCAUCAUUUUCUGUUCUAAAAAUAGACAUUGAAUAUGGUUUAAGCUGGUUUUUCAAUUUUUUCUUUAUGUAAGUCAAAUCCUUAUCCGUUUCUUGAAAUUUUUAUGUUUUUGUGAUUGUUGCAAUUAGGUCCAAUUAACCUUUACCUUGGUUUUUGAUUUUAUUGAAAAUCUUGGAAGUUACCAUUGAUGAUUUCAUAUGAUUUUAGUUAUUAGAUGAUGAAUUUGAGGUGUUGAUGGGUAUUUAAAAGUGUUUUAUUAAAGAAUUUUGAUGAAAUCAUGAUUUAGGGAUUAAAUUGAAAAAUGUUGAAUUCAUGGAAAAUUCUAAAUUUUAUGGAAUUCAUGGAUUUCUAUUAUUAUGUAUGAAAAUUUCUAGGCUUGGAAUGAAGAUUAAAUUUCAUGAAUUUCAUUUUCCGAGCCUAGGGAUGAAAUCGGAAUUAAUUAAAAGUAUAGGGGCAAAAUGGUACUUUUGCCUAAGAUGUGAGCUUGAUUGAAUUGAAUAUGAAAUGUAUUAAAUUGAUGUUAAAUUCAUUUAUAUAGAUCCGAAAAUAUCAAAUAAGGAGUUAGAUUGAGGAAAAUAAAAAGUGUCGGAUUAGUAGAUUUUUGUAUACGAGCAAGUGUCUAUGUAAGUUCGUGUAACUAAAUUGUGUAUAUUUAUAUGUUUGAAUUGAAUGUUGUAUAUGUGAAUUAUAUGAAUGUCAUAUAUAUAUGAAAUUGAUCACAUAUCCGACAAUGCUCGAUAAAUAUUAAGUCUUGUUUGGAUAAAUGUGAUUCGAUGGAUACAGGGUUCCAAGAUUCCCGUAUUGGUUGUGGUCUUGCAUAUGUUGCGGACACACCACAGCUCGAAAGAGCCUUCUGUUAUUAGCCCUCUCGAGUUUCCCAUUAUAUAGUUCCUGCGAGCUUCCCAUUAAUAACUCUUCGGAGCAUCUCAAUCGGUUGUAAUUCUGCAUGUGUUGUAGACACACCACAGCUCUUAUGAGUGUCCUGAUAUACGGCUCUUCGUGAGCUUCCUGAUUAAAGGCUCUUUAUGAGCUUCUUGAGUAAUGGAUCUCUGGAACUUCCCGAUAUGGCUCGCUUGAACUUCCCGAUAUAUGGCUAUUUGGAGCUUUCUGAUUAAUGGCUCUUCGGAGCUACCUGUUAUUGGCUCGCAUGAACUUCCUAAAUACGGCUCUUAUGAGCUUCUCGUUAUACAGCCCAAAUAAGCUUCCCAUUACAUGACUCAUAUGAGCUUCCUGUUAUAUGGCUCGAGAGAGAGCUUCCUGUUUAUGUGCUCGUAUGAGCAUUCCCGAAUAUGAAUUGACGAAGUAUAGAUUUGUACACUUUAUGUGUACUACCCGGGUAUCCAUCGAUAUUUUAAAUAAUGCAACAGGUAAAACCUUAGUACAAGAAUAUAAAUGAAUUCAAAGUGAAUUGUUACUUGUAUAUACAUGAAAUACAUGGAAAUUUGGUAUUGAUGAGCUCAUACAUGAUUCUUGAAAUUCAUGUGAAGUAAAUGACUAACAUGUUUGAUGAAGUUGUGAGUUUUAGGCUAUUAGCCAAAUUGCUUGGAUGCAUUUUAUAUGUUUAUUUUAAUGAAAAUAAAUGGUAAGUUAAUUUCCCGUUAUACGAACUUACUAAGCAUUAAAUGCUUACUUUGUUUUAUUUCUUCUAUUUUAUAGUAUUCGAAAGCUUGUAAAGGUUGGAAGCGGGUUGGAGCAACAUCACACUAUCCUUCAGCUCGUUUUGGUAUAAAUAGCAAAAUUUCUUUUGGGUAUCAUGGCAUGUAUAGGUUAAAUUGGCCAAAUGAUGGCAUAUAAAUAUUUGGUUGAAACUAGCCAUUUGUAUGACCUAAACCUGUUUGAUGUGUGUGUUUAAAAUGGUUAAAUGGUGAAAAGUAUAUAGACCUAUUGAUGAUUGGUUUGAGAUACCAUAAUUGGUAAAAUAUGCCUAUAUGCACAUAUGUGUAUUUGGUAAGUUUGAACACUUGAACAUAUGUGAUAAUAUGUCAUGCAUAAGACUUAGUUUUGGAUUUGUUUUAAUGUCUUGAAUUGGUUGGUGAAUGUAUUAAAGUGUUAAUGUAGGUGAAAGAUAAAUUGGGUGAGAAAUGUGGCCUUGGAAAUGACUUAUUUUCGUCCACACGGGUAAAGACCUAGGCGUGUGUCUCAGCCGUGUGUCACACACGGCCUAGCACAUGGGCGUGUGAUCUAGCCGUGUGUCUCCUGCAUCCUUAAAAUUGAGAAACAGAAUGCCCAAGUAUUUUCACACGGCCUAGCACACAAGCAUGUGGCUUAGCCGUGUGACCCUUGCACCUAAUUAAUGCAAAAUAAAUUGUUCAUACGGCCUAGCACACUGGCGUAUGGCUUGGCCGUGUGACCCAAGUCAGUAAGCACCCUAAAUUGGACUUGGGCUGGGACACGGCCGUAUGCCCCACUUCGAAUGCCCACACGGCCUAAGACACGGGCAUGUGUCCCCUGCACAUAGGAAAAGUUUUGAAAUUUUACGAAAAAUUCUCUAAGUUCCCGAAUUAGUCUCGACUUGUUUCUAAUGCAUAUUUUGGGCCUCGAGGGCCCAUAUAAGGGAUAUUAUGAUUGAUUUCUAAUAUGAAUAGUAAAGGAUAUGAAUUAACUGUAUUUGAUCUAUAAACUCUGGUAAUGCUCUAUAACCCUAUUCCGAUGAUGGAUAUCGGUUAGGAGUGUUACACUGACUUUCAUUUUUACGUCCCGAGUAAAUGCCCAUUAUGAAUUUCCACUCGUAAGAAGGAAAAAUUCAUUUAAUAAUAUAGUUAUUAUAAUAUUUUUUUCAUUAUUAUAUCUUUUAAAUAACAUGUUAUUUGAAUAGGUGGAACAAUGACGCUUGUCAUGUGGAUAUACCAGACUAGUUCGAAGAUAUCCGACUAAAGUUAGAUCAAUGAUUGGAAGCCAAUGUUAGUUUUUGAAAUUUUCAAUUAUAUAAUAUUUAUGUAAGGAUUUGAAAUUUAAUAUUAGAUACAUAAUAAAAUUUAUAAUUUCAUAUUGUAGUUUGAAUAGAAGUCACACUCUUAUCUGAGAAUUCAAGAAUGCAUCCCAGACGAAUUUUUUGGUGAAUCGCAAUAUCUGGCACGUUAAAGUGCCAUUGAUAGUUUUUGCAACGAUCGAGAUGAACGAAUCCGAUCAAGUGAUGCGUCAAUUCAGGUUUAGGCAAAGUAUUUUGUCGUCAUCUAGGAGCUCAAUGAACUUCACAAGAUCGACUUACGAGGGAGAACCGAUGAAGAUUGGCCUAAAUUCCAUGCCAAAUAUAUCUACAUUUAGGAACAUAGGUAUGAUUUCAUACCUAUAUGUGAACCAAUUUUCCCACUGGAUUUGGUAACCUCUCCGGAUUACAUAAUAUGGUUUAAACUUUAUGGUAAGUCAUAUCUAGUGCCAGAAGAGAGAAGGAGUAGGCAAUGUCGUCGUAGGAGGCCAAUACAACCCCACAUGAGGUCGUGGUUGGGAGUGCAUGCCUCGAUGGAAUCAUCAUCAGCUCCAAUUGUAACGACUUGAAAGUUAGCGGUGUCGAAAAAUAAAGUUUUGGGAACUCAUUUCUGUAAAUCAAGCCCGUAAAUAUUUUUUAUAUUUACAAAGUUAUUAUAUAUGUUAAUUGAAUUUUGGAUAAGUAAUUCAGUUAAAAUUGCGUUUAAUUAGGGCUCAAGGACUAGAUCAUAAAGUCCAACCACUAUAAAUUUUUAAUUAGAAAAUGAAAUGAGGAUUUAAAUUGCAAUUAACAAAAGCUCUAAAAUGGUAAUUAGACCCUGUUAAAUUAUGCAUUAAUGGAUAAUAGUGUUUAAAACUAAUUAAAUAAACAAAUUUUAAAUUAAUUAUAAUAAACCUUAAUUAAAUUAAACUUAAACCAUGUAUAUAAGCCAAAUUAAAAGAGAAAGUCAUCAUCUUUCUCCCAACUACAAACCGAAACAAAGAAAGAAAUAAAGAAGAAGAAGCAAUUAAUGUCAGGGUUAAGCUUUUAACUCCAAAAAUUCAAGUAAGACCUUAAUUAUUUUCUUGUAAUUUUUAUGUUUUUGUGAUCAUGAAAGCUUGAAUUAGCUAGCCCAUGUACAAAUUUGUAAAACUGUUAAAGUUUUGAAAGUUGCCCUAGUUAAUAAUUGAAAGUUUUAGGUGUUAAAUUGAUAGGUUUUUUAAUUUAAAAGUGAAAAAGGACUAAAUUAUAAAAUAAAUUGAUAGUUGCUUACCUAAACUGAAUAAAUUGUAAAAUUUACUAUAGAAAUUAGAAAAUGAAAGCCCCAAAUGGUUAAUAGUGAAAACCGAUUUCUAUUUGGAGCUUUAGAUUGAAAGUUAUGUUAGUCCCGAUUUUAGGGACUAGAAUGAAUCAAUUGCAAAGUUUGUAUAAUUUGAUAAUUGAAUUCGAAUUGGUUGAUUAUUGAUAAUGUUGUAUGUUAUGUUAACCUAUAGCUAAUGUUGACCCGAAUUCCUCGAAAGGGAAAGGAAAAGCUAAAGCCGUUGACGAAUAGCUCAGAAUUUUCGAUUUGUAAUUCUAUGAUUUGGGAACCAUUUAAUUGUUGCAUGUACAUAUCAUUUUGCAUUACAUGGAACUAGAGGUGAUUGUUUAUGGCCUAUUAAGUUGAAUUUAUGUGAAUUGGAUUGAUUCCGAACUAGGAACUGAAUCGAAUAAAUUAGAAAAUUUUAUGUCUUGUUUGAAAUAUGCAAUUGGUAUGAAAUUCAAUUGGAACAUGUAAUAAUAUGUGUGAAUUGAUAAUUUGAUGAUGAACUUAGCAUGAUAAUGUAACAACUCAUUUUUUAGUGGUACCGAAAACGGUGAUUUUGGAACCCCGUAUUAUGAUGAUCGAUUCAGUAAAUAUCAUUUAUUAAUAUUUGCGAGUCUAUUAUAGUGAUAUAUUGAGUUUUGGUUCGGAAAUUUUAUUUAACGGUUAGUAAUUAGGGUACAAUGACUAAAUCGUAAAAAUCGUAAAAAUCGUUGUUGAAUUUUUGUUGGUUAAAAGGCUUAGUUAAUAAUUAGUCAAGUGCCUAUGUGAUCAUUAGACCAUUUUGUUAGGUAAUGGAUGGUUGGUGCAUUGUUAAAAGUAAAAAUAUAUGUUUAAUUAAAUUAAUAAUUAAGUGAAAAGUCGAUAAAACAUAAAAUAAAGGUUAUCUUCCUCAUUUGUACUUCUUCUCGCCAUCAAAUUAAAGAAAAAGAAAUGGAGAGCAACCAUUUUUGAAUGCUUAACAAUUGGUCUUGCAUGGUAAGCUCUCCAAAGCCCAUUUGUCGUAAAUUUUAUGUUUUUGAGAUCGUUGUAGCUUAAUUUAACUAAAUCGUAAAACUGUUAAAAGUUUUAAAAGUUAAAAUUAAUUAUUUAUGGAAGUUCUUGAUGUUUAAUGGUAGAUUUUUAAGCUUAGAAGUGGUUAAGGACUAAUUUGUAAAGUGAUUUUUGUUAAAUUUGAGUUUAGGGACUAAAAGGUUAUAGUGAUGAAUUUGACAUAAAUUUUUCAUGAAAUAUGUUUCUAUAGAGUUAUAAAGGGAUGAAAAUUAAAGUAAAGUUAAAAACGAAGAUUAAAUAUGAAAGUUAUAGUGGUUUCGGCUUUAGGGACUAAAUUGAAUAAAAUGUAAAAGUUCAGGGAAAUUUGGUAAAAUAAAAUUAAAAGGUCCAACUUGAAUAAAACUUGGUUUAGAGGGACCAAACCAGACUUCGCUAGUUUACACGGAUGGCGUGAUAGCAAUAUCAUGUAUAUAGAGGGGUACACUUAGAGGCUACGCCUUAGGGUUCGAAUAAGUGUAAUUAUAUCAAAAUUUAAGGUCCAAGUAAUAGUAAAUAUAUAUAGGCAUGCUCAGUAAAAUAAUUUGAUUGUAAGAACUUUAAUCUAAGAACCUUAAAACUUGUAUACUAGAAACUUUAGUUGAAGUUUAAUUUUUGAAACAUGUUUUUAUCUAAGAGAUUAGACUAAAGUUAUACAAUAAAUAGGGAUUAAAUUUGCCAUUGUUUAAGUUGUAAAUAAGUCAAGUCAGAAAUGUUGUUAAGUACUAUGGUUUAAUUGUGACAUUUGAUAUCCGGACCCGAUGAUCGGGUCAAGUAUAGGGUGUUACAACAUAUAACUCUAGUAUAGCAUUUCCAUUAAAGUAAUGCGAAUCGAGCUUCGCCUCGAUCUCAACGUCUCCUUUGAGCUCAAAUAUAUCAUAUCUAAUAGGUUUCAGUGACGUUAGAUAUCUAUAUUUAAAGCUCGAAAUUCUUCUUCAACUUGAAGUCGCCACUUUCCUUCUAAUUUUUUAAUGAAGCUCAUGCAAUUUUAUGCUCUAAUUAAAAGUCAAUUCUAUAGAUUGGGUUGAACAAAAAUGACCCCAAUUUUGAUGCCAAAUUUGAUCGUUGUAAUAAAUAACGGCUCUAAUUCGUCUACUCAUCUUCAACCAAAUAACUUGUUUCACAUGUUUAAAACCAAAACAUAUAUAGAAAAAUGAGUACAACUAUCCAAAUUCAAACAACAACACUUACUUGAGCUAAUUUACUUUGCUGGGUCGAUGUUUGAAAUUCAAUUUUUUAACACAAUCUUUUCCUUAUGUAAAUCUCUUUAUAAAAACAAUUUGCUCGAAAUUUUAGUAUGAAACCGCUAUACAGAAUAUAUUCAUUUUAUAGGAAAUACUACCAUCGAAUAUCAAACAUAACUUUAAAGUGUUAGAAAAGGUUGGACAUGUCAAGUCUAAAAAUGCUUCUAACAAGAAGCUUUUUCUUAAAAAGUCUGAAUAGUUUUUAAAAAACUCUUCUUAUUGGAAGCAUUUUUCAAAAAAAAAAUUAGGGUUUUUGGUUUAGGGGCGUUGAAAAUGUGAGGAAAAAACACCUUCUGCAAGGCGCGCUUUCAGCGUCCCUACUAGCACCUCAGCUAAAAACGCCUCCUGCAAAAUGCAUUUUCUUCCCACAGAUUUUUAAAUCCUAACCCUAAAAAGGAAUCAUGUGAAAAAAAUUUAGAACCCAAGAAUCCUGAGAUAAUUUUCAAACAUCCCAUCUUGGGAAUAUUGAUCAGUUGUGGGGUCCCACAUAAUUUGUUUUUUUAAGGAGGUUUUGCUCCCCCUACUCCAUCAGCUCUCUCGCCUACUGUCCCUUAGAAAAAAAAUAUUAUUAUUUUUUUGUGUUGGGUGUUGUAAAUUUUUAGGAGAAAGAUUAAUUUGUGUUUGUGUUUGAGGGAAACAUUAUGCUAGUUUUAAGGUAUGUUUGAGUUCAUAGUGAUGCAACGGUGUUUGGAGACCCACAUAUUUCCUCUACCGUGUGAGGAUGGAAUCAUCACCUUAGAAUAUGUCGAAUUGCAAGUUGGGCUUCCAAUUCACGGUAGUUAUAUAGUCAUGGGUUGAAGUAUAACCAGGGCUCCCAAUUGACUGUGGUUAUGUGGUCAGUUCACGAUGGUUAUAUGGUCACGGGUUGAAGUAUAACUAGGGCUCUUAGUUGACAAUGGUUAUGCGAUCACGAGUUCAAGUAUAACUUGGGCCCCAAGUUGGCGGUGAUUAUACGGUCACGGGUUCAAGUUUCAUGCCAUUAGAAGAUGAUGCUUUAUAAACCCUAUACAUAUGUAAUGACUUAAAUUCAAGGUUAUCGAAAUAGUGGUUUCAUAACCACAAAUCCGAUUUAAAGAGAAUUUUAUUUUAAUUUUUUUGCAUGAAUAUUGAUAUGAUAGGAAAAUCGUAUGAAAAUAUCGAUAGAAAAAUUUUACCGAUUUAGUGGUUAGUUAGAAAAAGAAAUUAUUGGAGAAAUUGGGUAAAAACAAGGUAUCGAGACCUUAAUCUCAUAAAACUGAGUCAGAAAUAUUUUUAUAAAUAUUUAUGAAAUGUUAGUAAUGUGGUAUUAAAAUUUUGUUAGAAAAUUUUAAUGUUUGGGUAGUCAAUUAAAUGAAAAUGACUAAAUUGGAAAAAGGUGUAAAAGUAGCUGAGAUGAUUAAAUAGUUUAAGUGUCUAAUGAGAAAGGAUUUAAAAGGCAAUUAGACCCAAAAUUUAUUUAGGUUGGAUGGCAAGGACAUGAAAUCAGCAAGAAGAUGGAUGAUUUAAGGGCAAAAUUAGAAUAUUGCAUAAUUAACUAAAUAAAAUUAGGACUAAUGUAGAAAUAUCUAGAUUUCUUUUGAUUUCUUUCCAUUCUCAUCAGCCAAAACACCAUAGGAGGGGUUCUUUAAGCUGGUAUUUCAUAAAUUUUGCACCAAGUGAGUUAAUCCUUACCUUUUUCUUAUAAUUUUUGUGUUUUUAAGACUUUUACAACUAGGUUCUACUAUUACAUUCAUUAGUUUUUGAUUUCAUGGAUGAAAUUGAAAGUGACCAUGGUUGAGUGCUAUAAUUUUAUGAUGAAAUAGCAUGAAAUUGAAGCUUUAAUUUGUUUAUAAGAUGAUUUUAUUAGGUAAUUUCAAUAGAAAUUGAUUUUUAGGACCUAAUUGUGAAAAAAUUGGAAUUAAAGUCUAGUGCUGAAAUUCUAAUUCCCAAAGGUUAUAAAGUAGUUUAAAGUGAUAGAAUAAAGUGUUAAUUGAGAAAAAUCAGCUCAAUUGAGAGGUUAAUUGAGCAGGGACGAAAUUAUCAUUUAUUAAAAGCUUAGGGGAAAAUGGUAGUAAACAUCUUGCACUAAAACAGUUUUGGACAGCAACAGUAGGCUAAUUUUGAAAAAUCAUCAUAAAUUGUAGAAAUUGAAUUAGAGAAUGAAUAAAAUAUAGAAUUAAAGAUUAUUGAGUCUAGUUUCUUAUAGAAGAAAUGGUGUAAGUAAUGGAAUUGUAAAUCAUGAGAUAUAAUAAAUUUUAUGAGAUAAGGCAGAAUGAAUUCGGGUUCCCCUGUUCUGACUUUGGAAAAUCAUUAAAAAUUGGAGAAAAAUAAUUAGGGGUUAAAAUUUACAUGUUUAAAUUAUUAAUGAGUCCAUUUUCAAUAUAAACAAACGGAAACAUCAUCCAAAUUUUUUACUAAGAGAUGAAUUAAUUUUUAGCAAAGAAAGGUCGAAGCUGUCAGACAGCAGAACAGGGGUAAGAUUGAAGAUUUUACUGUACUUAUUGGUUGGACCAAAAAUUUUGGAAAUUUUAUGGUAAAAAGGUAUUCGAGUCUAGUUUCGAAACACUAAGCAGUUUUUAAUUUGAAAUUCUGUAGCUUGAGAUGUAAAUAAUUUAGUGACUACGACUCAAGUAGACAACUUUGUGUGAACUAUAAAUAAUAAUGGAAUUAUAGAGAAUGUUACAUAUGAGCAUGAAAUGUAUUAAAUUGAUUAUUAAAUUUAUUUAUUUAGAUCCAGAAAAUUCAAAUACGAAGCUAGAUUGAGGAAAGGAAAAAGUUUGGGAUUAGUAUAUUUUUGUAUACGAACAAGUAUCGAUGUAAGUUUGUGUAACCUGAAUUAUAUUUUUAAAUGCUUGAAAUGUAUGUUAUUGAUGUGAAUAUGAUUUAAAUGUUCAUUGUAUAAAAAUUGAUGAGACAUUGAUAUAUUUGAUAAAAAGGGAAUAAAUCCCUGUUGAAUGAAAGGAAAAUUCGAUGGAUCUUUAAAAAGGAAUUAAUGGUAAAAAAAAAUCUAGCAUGGACGGGUGAUCCUAUUCUGAUAUAGCCCUCCCGAAGAAUAUGUGUAAAAUUGAUUUAGCCCGGAUGGGUAAUCCGAAUUAGGGUCUAAAUUUAGUCUGGACUGAGAAUUCAGAUCCAAGCUCAUUAGAGUAAAUUGUCGUUGCAGGGGAUUUAGCCUGGACUGGUAAUCCCGCUGUAAGGAUGAGGUUCGCGGGAGUGUGCUCUCUGAAAUGGAAAUGUGUGCACAUGAAUAUGAAUUGACGGACCCGGAAUAGAUGAGGUUUACAGGAGUGUGCUUUCUGAAAUGAAAAUGUGCGCACAUGAAUAUGAAUUGACGGACCCGGAAUAGUACGCUAAAAGUGUACCUCUAAAAAUCCAUCGAAAUUCUGAGAAAUUCAACGGGAUAAAUAUGGGAAAUAAUGAGGGUAAUAGAAAACAUGGAAUUGAUGAGCUCAUCAAUCAUUAAUCUUUGUAUUGCACUCAUUUGAUGUUAUUUGAUUAAUGUUUUGGUUGAGUUUUUGUGUGAUAGGUAAAUGGUAAAUUGAAUGGAUGUAUGAAUAUUUAUUGUAUUGUAUUGAAAAUAUUAAGUAAGUAUAGUUCUUGUUACAUGAGCUUACUAAGCACAACAUGCUUACCCUGUUUCAUUUUUCCCUGAUUUGUAGUAUUAAGAGCUCGGAAGUCGGGUUCGGUCAGAGACACAUCACACUAUCAACUUCAACAUUUUUGUAUAUCAAGAAACUUUAUUUUGGAAUCAAUGGCAUGUAUAGGUUGAUAAAGUAAAUGUUAAUGUGAAAUGAAUGUAAAGUUAGCCAUUGGUAUGGCUAUGAAAUCCUGGUUUUGGUAUGUGAUGAGGUUAUCUUAUGGAUAUGCGUAAAUCUAUCUUGAAAAUAUGUUGAUUUGGAUUGAUUGAUUUGGUUUGAUAUCGAUGUAUGUUUUGGGCUUCGGAGGCCACGUCAUAAUAUGUUUCAAUAAAGAAUAGUAUUUAACUCGUAAUAACCAAAAAAAUUAAUUCGAAAAACUCUGGUAAUGCCUCGUACCCUAUUCCGACUACGAAUAUAGGUAGGAGGUGUUACAACAUAAGUUUGAGAUUAUAAUCAUAGGAGAAAACAAAUGGGCUUUUCAGUAUAAUUAACUUAUUAUUUUUCUCCAUAUCUAUCAAAGUGAUAUCCUUAACCUCAUUGUUUAUAACCUGUGAUAGAUUUGGGGACAAGAAGGCUUUAGGGGGAGGAAGAGUGACUGUGACAGUGGAGAAAAGCUUAAAAUAGACUCAGGGUGACAACGAUUACUGUGAUUCAAGAACUCCUCCCCCUUUUUCCCCUUAUGAUUAUUAUCUCAAACUUAUGUAUGAGGUUUAUAAAGCAUCAUCUUCUUGUGGCAUGAAACUUGAACCCGUGAUCACAUAACCACCGUCAACAAGAGGCCCGAGUUAUACUUGAAUCUGUGACUGCAUAACCAUCGCAAACUAGGAGCCCUAAUUAUACUUCAACCCGUGACCGUAUAACCAUCGUGAACUGGGAGCCCGAGUUGUAAUGCGACAUCUUCUAAGGUGAUUGUUUCACCCCCAUAUGAUAGAUGAAAUAUGUGGCUGUCCAAGCACCAUUGCAUCACCGUGAACCCAAACAUACCUUGAAACUAGCAUAAUGUCUCCCUCAAACACAAACACAAAUAAAUUUUUCUCCCCAAAUUUCCAACACUCAAAAAAAAUUUUGGAAGGAAGAAAACUCAUCCUGCAGGACGCGUUUUCUGUUUCUCUCUUAAAGAUCGGCCCAUUUCCCUAAUUAAUUUUAGAAAACGUCACUCCUAUCUAAUUGACCCUCAUAUGAAAAUAUAAUAAAAUAAGUUAUAGUAAUUCGUUGUUAAUAUUAUAAGAAAUGUAAAUUUAAAAUAUUUUUAAACAAUUAAUUGUAAAUCUUAAUUUAAAUAUAAACUCUCCUCUAAAAGAGUUAUAUUUUUGGCUAACAGGCAGCUAACCUAUAUUUCUUUGGAUAAAUUAAUCCCAAAUAAAGUUAGUGAUCCAACCCAACAAGUCUUAGCUGGGCCCAAAUUAAAGUUCAUUAGAAAGGAGCCGAAUUCCUCACAAUCAUUCACUCAUUGUUUCUUCCAUUUUCAUAUUUUCACUAAUAAAAAUCCAAUUCCUAAUUCCUACAUAUCUCCUCUAAUAUUAAACACUCUACUUAAUUUGGUCAUAUCACGGGUGAAGUAGUAAAAAAAUAGAAAUAAAAAUACACAGAACUCAAACAUCUAUCAUUUCUAACAUUCAAUCAAAACCUUAUUUUAUUAAUUAUAUCAAUAAAUAUAUUUAUUAUAUAAUUUUAUUUUCACCCUAGUAUUAAUAAAUUCAUUCAUUCACUUAAAAGAGGGGGCUUAGUUCAAGAAAUAUUAUGUUUAAGAAUUAUUUCCCCUAUUUGGAUGAAAAAUAUUACUUUUAAGUCGACAAUAUGGUAUUACCAAUAAUGUCAAACUGUCAACAUUUGAGAAUAUAAAUAAUUUAUUUUUUAUGUAAUGUAAUAAUAUGAAAUUUUUGACAAUUUUAAUUUCAUUAAACCAAAACCAAAAUGAAAUAAUAAAUACUAAUGGAUCAAACUCUCUAAUUCUUUUAUAUAUUCUCUCAAGUAACAUUUCCAUUAUAUUCAUUCAUUUAUUUAAUGAGUAAAUUUAACAUUUAUCUAUUAAAUUAUUUCAAUUUUUAAUUAUUUUAAAUGAUUUUUUCCUAUUAUUAAUUAUUUUUUGAGGAAAAAAAUCACAAAUAUUCUAUUAUUAGUUAUUAAUUAGUUAAAAUAAUUAACAUUUGUAUAUUAUUAUUGUGUUGGUUUGUUUCUAUAACUUCAUAAUUAAGUUUUAUUGUAAGUAUAGUCAGAAUAACAAAUAUUAAGUACAUACAAAAUUCUAUAUCAAACUUCUGCUUCUCUAGCACGGCUCUUUCUACUGUUCUAGCACAUCUAGGGUUUUUUUGUUUUGUUUUCAUCUGUGUUCUUUCUUUCUUCGUGAUGGCGGUGAUGUUAUUGGCUACGGAUUACGGUAUAUCUAUUUGGGGGUUGGAUAUCUAUUAUGGAAAAUGAGAUGGCAGACUUGUCUUUGGAUGAUAGGGAGGAGGAAGGUUUGUUGGUAUAGAAGGAGACUGGUCCACACUCGAUGGUGACGGAGUUUAGCAUGGUUGAAUGGUUCUUAACGGCGAGUAUAGUUCAUUUUCCAGCAAUGAAGAGUACCAUGGAAAAUGUUUGGCACCCAAUUAGAGGAGUUCAGAUCUCGGAUCUAAGGGACAAAAGAUUUUUAUUUAAGUUUUUCUAUAGGAUGGAUUUGGAGCGGGUUAUUAAUGGUGUACAUUGGACUUUUAAUAACCACCUUAUGGUGUUUCAUAGGUUGGAGAAGGGGGAGGAUCCGGUGAAUGUUCCAUUAUUGUUUGUUAACUUUUGGGUUCAAGUUCACGACUUACCUAUGGGUUUGUUCUCGAAAACUAUUGCGCGACAAUUGAGAGAGUUUUUGGGAAAAUUUUUGGAAUAUGAUUCGAAGAGUCUAAUUCGGGGAGUGAGAACUUUUUUUAGAAUCAGGGUUCAGUUAGAUGUAAGGAGACCUUGGAAAAGAAGAAAAAAAGAUUGUAUUUGCAUAUGGAAACCAUACUUACGUUAGUUUUAAAUACGAGAAGUUGACGCUACUUUGUUUCUAUUGCGGGCAUUUGGGUUAUGGUGUCUCUUUUUGUCAUAUUAGAAUGUGGAGAGAGGAGGAGUCUAUUAAGUUGGGUUGGGAUCUGUCGCUUCAAGCACAAUCGAGAAGAGCUACCGCAAGGCUUAGUGUAUGGCUGGUAGAAAGUAGGGAUGAAGGGGGGCUUGGUAGUAUCGUUGAGCAACGAGGUUUGGGGCAACUACAGACUGCUAGAUGUUUCAAGAAUAAUUUGAGACAAGUUCAGCCCCAACUUUUGUUUCUAAUUGAAAUAAAAGUCAGCGCAAGACGAAUGAGUAGAUAAAGAUGAAAUACAGAUUUCUGAAUGGUAUAGAUGUGGAUGUUAUAGGGUCAAUGGAGGAUUACCUUUAGGGUGGGUGGAGAGUUUGACUAUUACUUUAAGAACAUUUUCAAGAUCUCAUAUUGAUGUGGAAGUGUAGGAGGGAGAUGGAGGGGUAGCGUGGAGGUUCACGGGUUUCUAUGGCGCCCUAGUAGAACAAAUAAGGAAGGAUUCGUGGAAUUUACUGCGACAUUUGAAACAAGAGAGUAACUUGUCAUGGUUGGUCUUGGGGGAUUUCAACGAGGUUUGUUAUUCUUUUGAAAAACAUGGAGGACGCCAUAGGGAGGAGCGAAGAAUGAUUGCAUUUAGGGAGGUGUUGGAUGAAUGUGAACUAAGUGAUUUAGGCUUCUCUAGUCAGUGGUUCACAAGGGAGAGAGGACGAUUUCUGGAAAAUAACAUAAGGGAGUGGUUGGAUAGGGGGUAGCUGACCCUAGAUCGUGGGAUAUUUUUUUAAAUUUUUUGGUAAACCAUCUUUAGCAUAGUUUCUCAGUUCACUUCCCGAUGUUUGUUAAUACAUGAAUUGAUAGGAGGGUUUGGGCUGGGCUUUGGGAUUCUUGGUUUCGUUUUAAUGCCAAUUGGAUUUUGGAGGAGGGGUUCGGGAAUCAUCUUAAAAGGUGGUGGGCAACGAAUGAUAAGAGAUUUCGACAAAGCUUGGGGAGUUAGGAGUGGAAUUGAGCAAUUGGGCUAAAAAAGCGAGAGUUAAUAGGUAUCAUAGGAGAAUGGGUUUGAGUGCAAGGCUUAAUGAGCUAAAUGGUGAAGAUCCUAGUGAUGUGGUACUGGCUAAAAUUACUAAUGUGAAGUUAACUAUGAACAUGAAAGCCGAUAUGGAGGAGUUAUUUUGAGAGAAAAUAGCUAGUGUGAAUUGGAUUCAAUUAGGUGAUCGAAACACAUCAUUUUUUCAUAAUUUUACUUCAAACUAGAAGAAAAAGAAUACGGUUAAAGGGCUGGAAAACGGGAGUGGGAGCUGGACAAGCAAACAAGAAGAGAUGGCUAGCUAGCAACAUAAUAUUUUAAAGAUUUAUUUUCUUCAAAGCCAGUGAAAGAUUGUGAUCGCUUACUUUUGGAAAUUCCAACGUGUGCCUCGAGGUCUCAAAAUGAGGAGUCAGUUGCUGAGUUUAGAAGGGAGGAGGUGAUUGAGACGAUUAGAGCCAUGGAUCCUUUGAAAGCAUCAGGAAAAGAUGGCUUCCCUGCGUUAUUUUAUCAGAAGUUUUGACAUGUGGUAGGGGAUGAGGUCGAGAAAUUUUGUUUGGAAGUGAUGAAUGGUCAAUGUGAUGUCGAGGGGAUCAAUGGCAUGAACAUCAUAUUUAUCCCAAAGAUUGUAUCGCCGAAGAACAUGGGUUAGUUUAGGCCCAUCAGUUCGUGUAAUUUUAUUUAUAAGGUGAUUUUAAAUGUGAUUGUGAAUAGAUUUCGUAAGGUCCUUAAUGGUUAGAUCGAUGAAACUUAAAGGGCAUUUGUGUUUAGUAGACAAAUCACUGAUAACAUAUUUGUGGCUUACGAGAUUCUACACUAUUUUAGGAAGAAGAUGGGUCGACUAGCUUUUUUUCUCUGAAGUUGGAUAUUAGCAAAGCAUAUGAUAGAGUUGAAUAGAACUUUUUGGAAAGAGUGAUGGGUUCUUUAGAAUUCUAUGAAGCUUGGAUCUCACUUGUUGUAAGGUGUCUCUGGUGUACCGUAUUCUAUUAUUUUGAAUAGAGUGUAAAUGGAGUAAUUCUGACCUUUUAGAGGCUUAAGGUAGGGGAAUCAUCUUCACCCUUAUUUGUUUAUAAUUUUAGCCAAAGGAUUUUCAAGGUUAUUGCAUAUGUUGAGAGACAAAGGAAGGCUCCAUGAGGUGAGGAUAGGUUAAAGUGAAUUAACUAUUACCCACCUACUUUUUGUUGAUGAUAGCAUUUUGUUUAAUGAAGCCUCAAUCGAAGAGCCAAAGACCAUGAAAUUGGUGGUGACUGAGUAUAAGAGUGUAUCGGGUCAAUUAGUCAACUUCAAUAAGUUCGUUAUAUUUUUUAGUGGUAAUGUGGAUAAUACGGUGAGGGAGCAAAUAGAUAAAAUUUUGGGAGUAUGAAUCUCAAACAAUCCGAAAAGGUAUCUAGGAUUGCCAACGAUAGUGGGUAGAAGGAAAAAACAUGCUUUUGUAGAUAUGAAAGAGAAAUUUAUAAGGAAAAUAAAGAGUUAGAGCGUGCAUUAUUUAUCGAUGGGGGGAAAGAAGUGUUCAUUAAGGCCAUUUUGCAAGCCAUCCCGAUUUAUGCUAUGUAAUGUUUCAUAUUUCCUGUUACUUUGUGCUGUAAUUUAGAGAAUAUGAUGUGUAAAUUUUUGUGGUGAAAUUUGAAAUCUGGUAAGGGUAUACAUUGGUGCAGAUGGAUUGCUUUGUGCACUCUGAAAGCAUAGGGUAGGUUGGGUUUUAGAAAUCUUAAUCUGUUUAAUAUGGCCCUGCUAGCGAAGUAGGGUAGAAGCUAAUUACGCAACCUUGUCGUUUAUUUUCACGUGUAUUGAAAGCUAAGUAUUUCCCUCGGGAGGAUUUUAUGAGUGCACGAUUGGGACCCUUUGUAUACCUAGUGGAGUAUUUGGGAAGCACGUAGACUUAUUGAGGCAGGGAUAGGCUCGAAAAUUGGGAAUCGGUUGGCCUUGAACAUCUGGAAUGAUGUGUGGUUUACAGGUCUUGGGAAUGAUAUUCUUCAAUUUCAAAACAUCGAUAUUAGGUACACUACUGUAUCAGAUUUAAUUAAUGAGGACACAUUUACUUGGAAAUAGGAUAUUAUUCUUAAGGAUCUGUUUGGUGAUGACCAGUUGUAGAAAAUCCUUUUGAUCCCACUAGUGAAAAACAUACAUAGAGAUGAGGUGGUUUGGAGGGGGAUGAAGUAGGGGAAUACAUAACAAGAAUCGGUUACAGAUGGCUCAUUAUAGAAGGGCGUGACAUACUGGGGGUUAAUUACAUAGAAAAAACAGUGAAUCUAUCUAACUUUUAUACAAGACUAUGGAGUCUAAGCAUUCCUAAUAAAAUCCGUAUAGAUUUCUGGAAAGUAUCUAAUGAUUUUUUGCUGGCGUUGGGGGUGCUGAAGUCCUAUAAGCUUGUUGCGAAUUCACUUUAUCCGGUUCGUGAAGUAGAGGAGGAGUUGGUGGCCCAUUUAUUUUGUGACUGUGUUUUCUCGAAGCAGGUCCUAGGUGAGUUGGUGUGGCUCUCUCGGCAGUUAACAUGCAACACAGUUAGAAACAAUGGUUAGCCAUCUCUUACUGGGUUUUGUGGUACAACUAUAACAAAGUGUAUCAUGAGGGUAUAGGGAUGGGAUCUAGGAUGUUGUGGGAUUCAUAAAUUCAUAUAUAAUGGAGAUAGAGCAAUUGAGUGAGUUAUCAAAUUCAAUACAUAUCCCUAAGCAAUCUAUUUUGGAGCCACCGGAAGGGGACACUAUUAAGCUUAACUUCAACACAUCUUUUAAUCACCAGUUACAGACAUCAUAUUCUGGCAUAAUAGCACGAAAUAGAGAAGGACUGGUCAUGGCGUUAUGCACUUCCCUGUGGGAGAACAUUCCAGAUCCAACCAUGGCUAGGCACAAACAUGUUUAAAGGUGGUUUUUUUUGCAGAAGAGUUGGGUUUUUGGAAUGUGUGUGUCAAGGGGGAUGCUCUAAUAGUCAUCCAAAAAUUGAACUCUAUAGAAGAGGAUAGAUCCAGUAUUAGUACUCUUAUUAAAGACAUAAAAGAAAGGGUAACCAAGUUUUGAAGCCUUCAAUUUAGAUUCGUACCUUGGGAGGCUAAUGCGACGAUGCAUGGAUUGGUGUUGGAGGGCAGAAAGUACAACUGCCCUAUGUAUUGGGUAGAAGAGGUCCGGAGAGAGGUGGAAUGGUUUGUUGACAAGGAUAGGAGAGGGGUUGGGGGAAGUGACCAUUCGUAAAGGCUGAGUCUGAAUUCGAGGAUAAUGGGUUGUCCGAUGAACUCGUAAGCUUGAUGUGAGGUUUUCCAGUUUUCCUCUCACUAGAGUUUGUUUUUUCUUGUUACCUCGUCGAAGUGAUGGUGCUUAAGAGCUUGAAAGUUGUAUGGAGAGGAAAGGGGUUAGAUGAGGGGACUUUUCAUUUCUUUCUUGUUUUGUGUUUUGUUUCUUCUGUUAUGUUUUGUUGUUUUACUUUGUUUUCGUUUACUGUGGGCAUGUUUAAUGUGAUUAGGUUCUUUUGAGGUCCCCUAGGCAUCGGUUAGUUAUCCAUUAGUUGGGCGACACGUACGAAUAGAUUGUAACCAUUUUUUCCCCAAAAUUUGAAUGGCAUCG
RNAcentral lists this long non-coding RNA (18155 nucleotides) under Gossypium barbadense (sea-island cotton). RNAcentral's name for it is "long non-coding RNA (GBAR_LNC018719)". The record is from RNAcentral. Lineage: Eukaryota; Viridiplantae; Streptophyta; Magnoliopsida; Malvales; Malvaceae.